GAUUGAACGCUGGCGGCAGGCCUAACACAUGCAAGUCGAGCGGAUGAAGGGAGCUUGCUCCUGGAUUCAGCGGCGGACGGGUGAGUAAUGCCUAGGAAUCUGCCUGGUAGUGGGGGAUAACGUCCGGAAACGGGCGCUAAUACCGCCUACGUCCUGAGGGAGAAAGUGGGGGAUCUUCGGACCUCACGCUAUCAGAUGAGCCUAGGUCGGAUUAGCUAGUUGGUGGGGUAAAGGCCUACCAAGGCGACGAUCCGUAACUGGUCUGAGAGGAUGAUCGGUCACACUGGAACUGAGACACGGUCCAGACUCCUACGGGAGGCAGCAGUGGGGAAUAUUGGACAAUGGGCGAAAGCCUGAUCCAGCCAUGCCGCGUGUGUGAAGAAGGUCUUCGGAUUGUAAAGCACUUUAAGUUGGGAGGAAGGGCAGUAAGUUAAUACUUUGCUGUUUUGACGUUACCAACAGAAUAAGCACCGGCUAACUUCGUG
Molecule: ribosomal RNA, 485 nt
Filed under: uncultured bacterium
Lineage: Bacteria
Description: partial 16S ribosomal RNA
Rfam family: Bacterial small subunit ribosomal RNA
Source: RNAcentral